This is a long non-coding RNA of Bos taurus (domestic cattle), 1182 nucleotides long. NCBI's taxonomy places the organism in Eukaryota, Metazoa, Chordata, Mammalia, Artiodactyla, Bovidae. The record is from Ensembl.
GGAAGAUCCCCGUGGAGAAGGAAAUGGCAAUCCACUCCAGUAUUCUUGCCUGGAAAAUCCCAUGGACAGAGGAGUCUGGCAGGCUACAGUUCAUGGGGUCUCAAAGAAUGGGACACAACUGAGCAAUUUCACUUCUCACUCUCUAAAAGGAUAAUAUCCAUAGACGAAAACAAGUAAAAGUUACUAAUUUUUCUAGCACCACAUGAAAACACAUGAACAUUCCGGUUUUCAAAAUGACUGUCCAGGGUCCCCUAAAUCACCUCUGGGAAACACAGAUCCAGUUCGUCAUCAUUCCCAAUGCUCCUCACCCUGAGGCCUGCAGAGGAGAAGGCGUGGAUCUGAAGUCCCACAGUCAUGUACAGAUGUGAAAUGGGAUCAUAAAGAAGGCUGAGCGCUGAAGAAUUGAUGCUUUCAAACUGUGGUGCUGGAGAAGAUUCUUGAGAGUCCCUUAGACUGCAAGAUCAGAUCAGUCAACCCUAAAGGAAAUCAAGCCUUAAUAUACACUGGAAGGACUGAUGCUGAAGCUUCCACCUGAUGCGAAGAGCCAACUCACUGAUGGAGGAAAAGAAGAACACAAAUUAAGUGGCUUGGGACUUCCCUGGUGGUCCAGUGCCUAAGACUUCACACCCCUCAAUGCAGGGGACGUGGGUUCUAUCCAGGGAACUAGUUCUCGAGUGCUGCAAGCAAGAGUUCGCAUGCUGCAACUAAAUAUCCUGAGUGCUGAAACUAAAGCCUGGCGCAGCCAAAUAAAUAAAUAAAGAUUUUUGAAAAAGUAAAGACAAAAGAGUAUUUACAAUAUUUACAUUUUUAAAAAGAACAAGAAGUUAAGUGGCUUGUAACUUAUGGCAGUGACUUCAAGUGGAGUCUCCCAGUUCAUGAGUGCUAGGGUCAGGAUUCAAUCCAGGGAUGCCUGACUCCAGAACUAUGCCUUAUAUUUGAGUUUUUGAAACUAAUCAUAAAUACAGGACAUCAGAAGAUUAAGGAACAGGAGCAACUAGGACUGAGAGGGCUUAGUCCAAUAAGCCAACUAAGUUCAGAGACCAAGAAUGUCACUAUAAUUCUAGGUGGUAUUAACAGCUGGAGUGUCUGGAUUUGGGGACGUAGAGUCUGCUCAGUCCCCCAGGGUUCAACUUAGGCCACCCUGGUAAUCCUGUAUCCAGUUCCGAGGCUGGGCCUUAAGAG